CUACGGAGGGUCCAAGCGUUAUCCGGAAUCAUUGGGUUUAAAGGGUCCGCAGGCGGUCAAUUAAGUCAGAGGUGAAAGCCCAUCGCUCAACGAUGGAACUGCCUUUGAUACUGGUUGACUUGAGUUAUACGGAAGUAGAUAGAAUAAGUAGUGUAGCGGUGAAAUGCAUAGAUAUUACUUAGAAUACCGAUUGCGAAGGCAGUCUACUACGUAUAUACUGACGCUGAGGGACGAAAGCGUGGGGAGCGAACAGGAUUAGAAACCCGAGUAGUCC
RNAcentral lists this ribosomal RNA (274 nucleotides) under uncultured bacterium. RNAcentral's name for it is "partial 16S ribosomal RNA". It matches the Rfam family "Bacterial small subunit ribosomal RNA", at positions 523 to 796 of the family's 1533-position model. The record is from RNAcentral.